Molecule: transfer RNA, 93 nt
Filed under: Pseudonocardia autotrophica
Lineage: Bacteria; Bacillati; Actinomycetota; Actinomycetes; Pseudonocardiales; Pseudonocardiaceae
Description: tRNA-Thr
Source: RNAcentral
UCCGGCCACUGGUCGGGGGCGAUCGUGUCGAUGGUGACGGCGAGCACGUCGACCGAGGCGUGCAGCAGCAGGUCCGGCUCCAGCUCGUCGGGA